Molecule: ribosomal RNA, 121 nt
Filed under: Diabrotica virgifera virgifera (western corn rootworm)
Lineage: Eukaryota; Metazoa; Arthropoda; Insecta; Coleoptera; Chrysomelidae
Source: RNAcentral
GGCAACGGCCAUACCACACUGCGAAUAUACCGGUUCUCGUCCGAUCACCGAAGUCAAGCAGUGUCGGGUGCGGUUAGUACUUGGAUGGGUGACCGCUUGGGAACACCGCAUGUUGUUGCCU